Long non-coding RNA from Wyeomyia smithii (pitcher-plant mosquito), 1193 nucleotides. RefSeq lists it as uncharacterized. NCBI's taxonomy places the organism in Eukaryota, Metazoa, Arthropoda, Insecta, Diptera, Culicidae. The transcript has 2 exons. The record is from RefSeq and is a predicted model, not a curated record.
ACAACAACCAUGAUGUCAAAUAAAUUUGACCAUUAUGUCAGAAGGUCAAAUAUUUGACCAUUAGACAAAGAGUGUACUACAGGCUUAACUAUAGGGCUUUAGUUUCAUGGCCGUGUUGUCAUAAAACAAACACUGAGAAUCAUUUUUGGAAUAAUAAUUAAUUUUUUUAUUCGGUUUAGUAUGAUUUAACAUAAAUAACCCUCAAGUCUCUUAGCAUAGACUAAAGAAACAUAGAUAUCCAAGUUGGGCUUCGCUGCAUUUAAUCUCAAGGCAACACUAUUGUCCCUUUCUCUGAAACUUGUUCGCCGCACCAAAAAAGGCGACUUUGAAAUCAAACACCGCAUCAGAGAAUAGACACUACACAUCAGAGUUGUCAGAUUUUUUUUUCACCGAUAUUGCAUUUUACAGAGCAACAUGAAAUAUAUUCAUUUUGUACUGGCAACCCUUGCUUUGAAGCGGCGAUACCAAAACAAACAUUUGUCAACAACGACAUCGACAGCAAAAAAUUGUUUCGAUCUCGAUCUCAGUGGAAUUUACGUAUUGCAAAUUUACUGAAACUGCAGGUAGAGUAAUGGUUUCUCAUAGAUUAUCAGAUUGUCGUUGUGUUUGUUUACUGUAGUAAUGAAUCUGCAAGUUAAUAAUUGUAAGCAGCAAGAAGAUCUAGAAGAGACCCCUGAAGCACACAUCGAUGUAGAAUAUUUAAUCGAAGAAGACCCACCGAAUAAUUAUGACCAAGAAGAGGAUCCUUUUGAUGUAAGUGAAAUUCCGAACAGGCUCCAGAUUACCCGAAAGCGUCGAAUCUGAGCAAAUAUAUUGAGGGAUUCAAUACCGAUGAUUCUACAUGGGAUACAGCUGGUUUACCCGAAGAAAGCGAUGAAGAAGCAGAGGCAAAACGGUUUUGUUUCCAGGCCAAUUAUUUUGUGAAAAAGUACACCAGGCAGAAGAACGGCGUGUGCAUAAACGAGAAAACAAACGUUCCAGAGCAGGUAUCUGGCAACAGUCUGGCGGAGGUGCUCGAAUGUAUAUGGAAGGUUGUCGAACCACAUUUAUGUCUAUAUAUACAGUCUGAAAAGAAAACAAAACCUAAAUUAAUCCACCUAGCAGUCAGACCCAGCCUUUCUCAUUCUAACUUUUAUUUGUAAGAAUAGAUUUACAUGAACGCUUCAAUCCAAUAAAUGUAUAUUCACUCUUAA